AUACCUUUCUUGGCCUUUUGGCUAAGAUCAAGUGUAGUAUCUGUUCUUAUCAGUUUAAUAUCUGAUAUGUGUAUACCAAUCGAUAGAUGACAAAUUUGAAGUAAAUUGUCGAUGAAUUGAUUUGGAAAAUUGAAUAUUAUAUUCAUUUUUCCAAAUCAAUUCAUCGACAAUUUAC
Molecule: non-coding RNA, 175 nt
Organism: Helianthus annuus (common sunflower)
Lineage: Eukaryota; Viridiplantae; Streptophyta; Magnoliopsida; Asterales; Asteraceae
Source: Rfam